RNAcentral lists this ribosomal RNA (274 nucleotides) under uncultured bacterium. Its description in RNAcentral is "partial 16S ribosomal RNA". It matches the Rfam family "Bacterial small subunit ribosomal RNA", at positions 523 to 796 of the family's 1533-position model. The record is from RNAcentral.
AUACGAAGGGGGCUAGCGUUGUUCGGAAUCACUGGGCGUAAAGCGCGCGUAGGUGGAUCAAUUAGUUGAGGGUGAAAUCCCGGGGCUCAACCUCGGAACUGCCUUCAAUACUGUUGAUCUUGAGGCCGAGAGAGGUGAGUGGAAUUCCUAGUGUAGAGGUGAAAUUCGUAGAUAUUAGGAAGAACACCAGUGGCGAAGGCGGCUCACUGGCUCGGUACUGACGCUGAGGUGCGAAAGCGUGGGGAGCAAACAGGAUUAGAAACCCUAGUAGUCC